CCUACGUGUUGUUGUUUGAUGCAGUCGAGCGGAAACGAGUUAACUGACCCUUCGGGUGACGUUAACGGCGUCGAGCGGCGGACGGGUGAGUAAUGCCUGGGAAUAUGCCUUGAUGUGGGGGAUAACCAUUGGAAACGAUGGCUAAUACCGCAUAAUGCCUUCGGGCCAAAGAGGGGGAUCUUCGGACCUCUCGCGUCAAGAUUAGCCCAGGUGGGAUUAGCUAGUUGGUGAGGUAAUGGCUCACCAAGGCGACGAUCCCUAGCUGGUCUGAGAGGAUGAUCAGCCACACUGGAACUGAGACACGGUCCAGACUCCUACGGGAGGCAGCAGUGGGGAAUAUUGCACAAUGGGCGCAAGCCUGAUGCAGCCAUGCCGCGUGUGUGAAGAAGGCCUUCGGGUUGUAAAGCACUUUCAGUCGUGAGGAAGGUGGUGUAGUUAAUAGCUGCAUCAUUUGACGUUAGCGACAGAAGAAGCACCGGCUAACUCCGUGCCAGCAGCCGCGGUAAUACGGAGGGUGCGAGCGUUAAUCGGAAUUACUGGGCGUAAAGCGCAUGCAGGUGGUUAGUUAAGUCAGAUGUGAAAGCCCGGGGCUCAACCUCGGAACUGCAUUUGAAACUGGCUGACUAGAGUACUGUAGAGGGGGGGUAGAAUUUUCAGGUGUAGC
Molecule: ribosomal RNA, 664 nt
Filed under: Vibrio sp. MR06-91
Lineage: Bacteria; Pseudomonadati; Pseudomonadota; Gammaproteobacteria; Vibrionales; Vibrionaceae
Description: bacterial SSU rRNA
Rfam family: Bacterial small subunit ribosomal RNA
Source: RNAcentral